CGGCGACUAGGUGGUAGUGCGAGCCAUCGCGGCGGGAGGAGGAAGAGAGACGUCAGGUACCGGCCGUGGCGUCGGAGCAGGGGUGUCGACGAGGCGUCGCGGAGGCUGCUGGCGCGGGCCUCGCGCUGUCACCGUAGUAAGGCUCGUGUACUGCGGUGCGAGGCGGCCCCGAGGAAGUGGCAGGCGCCGAGGAAGUCCGAGACGUGGAACGGCUGAGGGGGAAGCAGUGCCGGAGAGCAGGUACGAUCUCCGUCGGUGCAGGAGCUACCAACGACGACCUAAGAUGGGGAGGUUCAACGAGCCUGCGGAGGGGUUGAGAGGUAGGAGGGGUUGUUCCAGCGACGGUAGUGGUUUUCGAUCCUACUUCCGGUCCUUCGGGAUGUGGUAGUGCGGGCCCUCUAGACCUGGCUCGGGCUCGUGCUGUUCAAGGAGCUCCGCGACGUCGACAAACUAGCACUAACCUUUUUCUAUUUUCGUUGUAGCCGGUGAACACCACCAGGCUUCCGGAGGCCCGCGGCGUCGUGGUGCGACAGGACUGCGGCUGGGUCAGCGUUUGCCGCCGGUAGAGACCCUUGGUCCGAGGGUUUUGGCUCAGUUUGAGGCUGUCGCUCAGUAACCAGCUCUGUCCCCCGCCGGCUACGUUCGCUUCGCCGCUUAGUAGUCUAUGGUCCAAAUAUUCUUCCAUACGUCUCUAGUUCAGACCCAGGUCAAUAAUAGUCCUAUGUUGUAUCUUUGGAUGUGAUGGUCAUCAUCAGACUUAGAUUUCUCCUCAGGCUCAGUCCCAGCUGGACGAAGACCUGAAGGGAGGAACUUAGGAGGUAACUUUCGUAUAGCGGAACCAGUUUAAGCCGGCGGGAGGAGCUAAGGUAAAUGGGCGACGCCGCGGGCUGAUGAGGUGGGUGCCACUCGGAUCGAGACGUAGAGGACAAAAAACAGCAUGACAGACAACGGAUAAAGGACAUAUCAUACUACUACCGCACGGACCAGUUUAGUUAAUAAAAAAGACCCAUAUUUUAACAUUGAUACACUUAACCUAAUCCUACGUUGGUUUAAGUUUACGUCAUCCUUACGUGAUGAAAAAAGACCUUACUUUUCAUCUCUAGACGUCACGACGUACCAUUAAUAACCGUUCCGGAGUUACUGUUAUAAACGAUGGUCUAUAUAAGGAUGCCCAUCCUCCACUUAAUGUACCUACGGUAUCUAUAGUUCAGAGAUAUACCAACGGUAUCUACGAUGAUAAUGUACCUAAAUAAUGAUAAAAAGUACACAACAACUUUUAUCUUGAGUGAGUAAAUAAACAGAUGCCUCCCUCAUCGUAUGUCAUUCGAAGUAAAGUGGCUCCUCUAGAAGGCAAUGUAUCUCAAUAAUUAAAGUUAUACUUAAGUCUUAAGUCAUGGGUGUGCUUAAAGCAUCUACGAAACUAGCUCUGCACGCAACGUGCACGUACGAAUGAUCAAAAUCUAUACUCCUUUAUCAUCUAAAAAGAGAACUUGUGACAUAUAUACAUAGACUAUCAAACUUCUCUUGCUCUAGGAGACUACAUGAUUUUUGAUGGCAACUCCCUGCAUGAAGUGCAAAGUGGCAAGCGAUUAGUAGGUUGCCGUCGUUCACCUUUGGCCUUUUGUAUUUCGUGUAAGUCGGGUGUUCUUGCUAGAUCGGGUCAGGUUACCUUGCCCUCUCCCUUUUGUACAGGUAUCUGCUUUUUCCCACACUCGUGACAUUUUGCCGCGGUCUGUCUACUUUUUUUCCGCGCAAGGUACUUCCUUAGUUAGUGACCUCCCUACUCAACGAGACGAAAAAUUAGAACCCUCAUACAGAGUAAUAAGACAGCGAUUUAACUUUAACCGACUAGAAGGUAUAGUCUAACGGAGCUGUAUCUAGUUUGGAGAUAGUACG
RNAcentral lists this ribosomal RNA (1896 nucleotides) under Triticum aestivum (bread wheat). RNAcentral describes it as "partial small subunit ribosomal RNA". The record is from RNAcentral. Lineage: Eukaryota; Viridiplantae; Streptophyta; Magnoliopsida; Poales; Poaceae.